This is a non-coding RNA of Paraphoma chrysanthemicola, 87 nucleotides long. Lineage: Eukaryota; Fungi; Ascomycota; Dothideomycetes; Pleosporales; Phaeosphaeriaceae. The record is from the annotation of a GenBank genome assembly.
GGCUCGAUGGUGUAGUUGGUUAUCACGUUCGCCUCACAUCUAAGUGAAGACCGCGAAAGGUCCCGAGUUCGAGCCUCGGUUGAGUCA